AAAUGGAUUGUCUGAGUUUUUCUAUUUUUAAAUGGUGAUAUUUUAACGUAAUUAUUUGUGAAAUUUUGUUGGCUACUAAGAUUACAAAAAAUUAAAGGAAACUAAUGAUAUGAUGGUUCUAGGACGCAAAAUUUGGAUCUGGUAAAAGCGGUGCACCAAUGCACUAAGAGCUCUGCUGCUUCUCGUUCUUGGACGCAUAAUAUUCGCUGAUUCGAUUCUCUGCGCUGCCCAGUAGAAAGCGUGACGGCUAGUAGAAACGGACUACUACAGCAGAUUUAUUGCUCAAAUUGCCUGCAUUUCAACUUUAAAGAGGCUGAUGCAUCAGUGGCGCUUUAAUAGUAGAAACCGCCAGCCAGGGUCUCAACACUUAAAAUGUACAAACAUAUCAGUUAUAUGUAUGAAAAAAUUCAAGUGAAAUUUUGUGCUAAAACAUUUUCUAUUCGCGCAACUAUUUAGGGUAUUUAGCUUUGAGAGCAAAACACUGAUUAUUUUAAAGCAAUAAAAUUUCGCACUUAAAAUCACAUUAUUUUUAUGUAAACAUUUAAUGAAAAGAGCUUGAAAUUAAUAGCAAAUAUUUACAAAUAAUUUAAAUAGUUGUCAUAAAUCGGUGCUUACAAACUAAUAUUUAGGCCACUUAGUUUUUGUGAACACACACACGGACACGUUUAAAAGCGCUCUAUAAAAAUUUGCAUAAAACGCACACUUGCAAAAACUGCGUAUUUUAAGUACCACACAUUCAUAUAUACAUUCACAGCACUUUAAUACGCAAAUCAAAUAAA
Anastrepha ludens (Mexican fruit fly) is the source of this 779-nucleotide long non-coding RNA. RefSeq lists it as uncharacterized. The transcript is spliced from 3 exons. The record is from RefSeq and is a predicted model, not a curated record. Lineage: Eukaryota; Metazoa; Arthropoda; Insecta; Diptera; Tephritidae.